ACAGUGGACGCGAGCAUCUGUGGCCAAGUUUUUAAGGGCGCACGGUGGAUGCCUUGGCACCAGGAACCGAUGAAGGACGUGGGAGGCCACGAUAGUCCCCGGGGAGUCGUCAACCAGGCUUUGAUCCGGGGGUUUCCGAAUGGGGAAACCCGGCAGUCGUCAUGGGCUGUCACCCGCUGCUGAACACAUAGGCAGUGUGGAGGGAACGCGGGGAAGUGAAACAUCUCAGUACCCGCAGGAAGAGAAAACAACCGUGAUUCCGGGAGUAGUGGCGAGCGAAACCGGAUGAGGCCAAACCGUAUGCGUGUGAGACCCGGCAGGGGUUGCGCAUGCGGGGUUGUGGGAUCUCUCUUCCACGGUCUGCCGGCCGUGGGACGAGUCAGAAACCGUUGAUGUAGGCGAAGGACAUGCGAAAGGUCCGGCGUAGAGGGUAAGACCCCCGUAGUCGAAACGUCAGCGGCUCGUUUGAGAGACACCCAAGUAGCACGGGGCCCGAGAAAUCCCGUGUGAAUCUGGCGGGACCACCCGCUAAGCCUAAAUAUUCCCUGGUGACCGAUAGCGGAUAGUACCGUGAGGGAAUGGUGAAAAGUACCGCGGGAGCGGAGUGAAAUAGUACCUGAAACCGUGUGCCUACAAGCCGUGGGAGCGUCGGAACAAGGCUUGCCUUGUUCUCGUGACUGCGUGCCUUUUGAAGAAUGAGCCUGCGAGUUUGCGGUGUGUUGCGAGGUUAACCCGGGUGGGGUAGCCGUAGCGAAAGCGAGUCCGAACAGGGCGUUUUAGUAGCACGCUCAAGACCCGAAGCGGAGUGAUCUAGCCAUGGGCAGGUUGAAGCGGAGGUAAGACUUCGUGGAGGACCGAACCCACCAGGGUUGAAAACCUGGGGGAUGACCUGUGGUUAGGGGUGAAAGGCCAAUCAAACUCCGUGAUAGCUGGUUCUCCCCGAAAUGCAUUUAGGUGCAGCGUCGUGUGUUUCUUGCCGGAGGUAGAGCACUGGAUAGGCGAUGGGCCCUACCGGGUUACUGACCUUAGCCAAACUCCGAAUGCCGGUAAGUGAGAGCGCGGCAGUGAGACUGUGGGGGAUAAGCUCCAUGGUCGAGAGGGAAACAGCCCAGAGCAUCGACUAAGGCCCCUAAGCGUACGCUAAGUGGGAAAGGAUGUGGAGUCGCAGAGACAACCAGGAGGUUGGCUUAGAAGCAGCCACCCUUGAAAGAGUGCGUAAUAGCUCACUGGUCUAGUGAUUCCGCGCCGACAAUGUAGCGGGGCUCAAGCGUACCGCCGAAGUCGUGUCAUUGCAGCAGAUAGCCCCAACGGGUGCUGUGAUGGGUAGGGGAGCGUCGUGUGCCGGGUGAAGCAGCACCGGAAGGUAGUUGUGGACGGUUCACGAGUGAGAAUGCAGGCAUGAGUAGCGAUUCACACGUGAGAAACGUGUGCGCCGAUUGACUAAGGGUUCCUGGGUCAAGCUGAUCUGCCCAGGGUAAGUCGGGACCUAAGGCGAGGCCGACAGGCGUAGUCGAUGGAUAACCGGUUGAUAUUCCGGUACCCGCUGUGAAGCGUCAAACAUCGAACCCAUUAAUGCUAAGGCCGUGAAGCCGCCCCGGAGCCUUCGGGCAAAGGGGAGUGGUGGAGCCGCUGAUCCAAGGUGGUAGUAGGUGAGUGAUGGGGUGACGCAGGAAGGUAGUCCAGCCCGGGCGGUGGUUGUCCCGGGGUAAGGGUGUAGGCCGUGCGGUAGGCAAAUCCGUCGCACACAAGGCUGAGACCUGAUGCCGAGCCGAUUGUGGUGAAGUGGAUGAUCCUAUGCUGUCGAGAAAAGCCUCUAGCGAGUUUCAUGGCGGCCCGUACCCUAAACCGACUCAGGUGGUCAGGUAGAGAAUACCGAGGCGUUCGGGUGAACUAUGGUUAAGGAACUCGGCAAAAUGCCCCCGUAACUUCGGGAGAAGGGGGGCCACGCCUGGUGAGGGGACUUGCUUCCCGAGCUGGGGGUGGCCGCAGAGACCAGCGAGAAGCGACUGUUUACUAAAAACACAGGUCCGUGCGAAGCCGUAAGGCGAUGUAUACGGACUGACGCCUGCCCGGUGCUGGAACGUUAAGGGGACCGGUUAGUCGAGAUUCGUCUCGGCGAAGCUGAGAACUUAAGCGCCAGUAAACGGCGGUGGUAACUAUAACCAUCCUAAGGUAGCGAAAUUCCUUGUCGGGUAAGUUCCGACCUGCACGAAUGGCGUAACGACUUCUCGACUGUCUCAACCAUAGGCCCGGUGAAAUUGCACUACGAGUAAAGAUGCUCGUUUCGCGCAGCAGGACGGAAAGACCCCGGGACCUUUACUACAGUUUGAUAUUGGUGUUCGGUUCGGCUU
RNAcentral lists this ribosomal RNA (2351 nucleotides) under Streptomyces sp. DSM 15324. Its description in RNAcentral is "bacterial LSU rRNA". It matches the Rfam family "Bacterial large subunit ribosomal RNA", at positions 1 to 2135 of the family's 2925-position model. Lineage: Bacteria; Bacillati; Actinomycetota; Actinomycetes; Kitasatosporales; Streptomycetaceae. The record is from RNAcentral.